UGGUGGGUAUUGCGAGCGUGACACACACGAACCCAUCCCGAACUCGACCGUGAAACCGCUCCGCGCCCAUGAUACUAUCGCUUAAGCGCCGGGAAAGUAGGUCCUCACCAAAU
This 113-nucleotide ribosomal RNA is filed under the name Pseudomonadota bacterium. Lineage: Bacteria; Pseudomonadati; Pseudomonadota. The record is from RNAcentral.